UUCCAGACUCCUACGGGAGGCAGCAGUCGGGAAUAUUGCGCAAUGGAGGAAACUCUGACGCAGUGACGCCGCGUAUAGGAAGAAGGUUUUCGGAUUGUAAACUAUUGUCGUUAGGGAAGAGAAAGGACAGUACCUAAGGAGGAAGCUCCGGCUAACUACGUGCCAGCAGCCGCGGUAAUACGUAGGGAGCAAGCGUUGUCCGGAAUUACUGGGCGUAAAGGGCGCGUAGGUGGGCGCUUAAGUCAGGUGUGAAAACUCCGGGCUCAACCUGGAGACUGCACUUGAAACUGGGUGUCUUGAGGGCAGGAGAGGAAAGUGGAAUUCCUAGUGUAGCGGUGAAAUGCGUAGAUAUUAGGAGGAACACCAGUGGCGAAGGCGACUUUCUGGACUGUACCUGACGCUGAGGCGCGAAAGCGUGGGUAGCGAACGGGAUUAGAUACCCGCGUA
Molecule: ribosomal RNA, 447 nt
Filed under: uncultured bacterium
Lineage: Bacteria
Description: bacterial SSU rRNA
Rfam family: Bacterial small subunit ribosomal RNA
Source: RNAcentral